AUAUCCAUCCUAAUCUAAGAGAAAUUGAUGGGGUCAGGGAAUGAUUUGUGUACAAAUGUAUUUUAACCCCAUACAGAUUGGUAUGGUUGUACCAUAGAUUUAGAUUAAUUAAUGUUAAGUCUUAUUUUACUCUUAUUAUAUUUAUCUGUUUUUUAGCUACAGUAAUUGAUGUUGAAAAACUGAUGCAACCAAUCACUCCUCACUUGAUUAUUCAAGGUAAUAAAAAAAAAAACAUCUGGUGUUAAAACAGCCACGGCUAUGCUAUUUGCCUACCAAGUGCUGACCCAGAUUGUGAUGGACCUGGAAUGCGACACCAGUUACUCUUAAGACAAGAACCGAAUAAAGCACAGAUGUGGAGGUAUUUGCAGCCAAACUAACUGGAGGGAAGGAACCUUUAG
Danio rerio (zebrafish) is the source of this 398-nucleotide non-coding RNA. The record is from Ensembl. Lineage: Eukaryota; Metazoa; Chordata; Actinopteri; Cypriniformes; Danionidae.